RNAcentral lists this long non-coding RNA (257 nucleotides) under Penaeus japonicus. Its description in RNAcentral is "uncharacterized LOC122266132". Lineage: Eukaryota; Metazoa; Arthropoda; Malacostraca; Decapoda; Penaeidae. The record is from RNAcentral.
CCCACUUACCCACAUACCCGCCAUGCCAGGGCGGGCCAAGAGCGGUGCCCGGUUCACAGCCAGUGCCAGUAGCUCGCCCGAAGCUGGCUGGUGUCUCCCGUGGUCCUCCGGCACCCACACACAGAAAGCUAAGUGUGGAGCUGAGAAAGAAGGUCCACGCGUAUAUAAAGACAGAAAGAGAAGGAAUAAAGAGAAAAUAAGAAGGGAAAAACAAGAAAAAAACAAAGAAGAAGGGAAAAAGGAAAGAUAAAUAAUAA